RNAcentral lists this ribosomal RNA (275 nucleotides) under uncultured prokaryote. RNAcentral describes it as "partial 16S ribosomal RNA". It matches the Rfam family "Bacterial small subunit ribosomal RNA", at positions 524 to 798 of the family's 1533-position model. The record is from RNAcentral.
UACGGAGGGUGCAAGCGUUGUUCGGAAUUAUUGGGCGUAAAGGGCGCGUAGGCGGUAAUGCUAGUCAGAUGUGAAAUACUCCGGCUCAACCGGGGAACUGCAUCUGAAACUGCAUAACUAGAGUACAGAAGAGGGAAACGGAAUUCCCGGUGUAGAGGUGAAAUUCGUAGAUAUCGGGAGGAACACCAGUGGCGAAGGCGGUUUCCUGGUCUGAUACUGACGCUGAGGCGCGAAAGUGUGGGGAGCAAACAGGAUUAGAUACCCUGGUAGUCCCU